UGACCCAGAUGAGCAAAGAGUAUGAUAAAAGAUUUCCUUUCGUUUGUAUAAACACUUCAAGAGUGCUUCAUGUCUGUGAAUGGAAAACAAAAGUUGCAUGAUGAGACAUUUUUCAGCCAUGACUUCUGAAGACUUAUAGCUGUAGCACGCUCCUAAGACACAGAGCCUUCUAAGAUCCAAGAAUGUCAUCUUCCCUGUCUUUUACCCUUUUUUGAAAGCAUCUAAAGAAAAACUGGAAGCUGCAGAGAUAUAUGAGGAAUUGACAGCUUUCUCAGCAGGGAAGAUUAGCCUCUUUACAUUGGAAGACUUCUGUGUGGUGUAUGCAUGUCAGAGCCUUCCCCCACUGCUUUCGACAAGCUGAGUGAAAUCUAUC
Long non-coding RNA from Calidris pugnax (ruff), 373 nucleotides. RefSeq lists it as uncharacterized. NCBI's taxonomy places the organism in Eukaryota, Metazoa, Chordata, Aves, Charadriiformes, Scolopacidae. The transcript is spliced from 3 exons. The record is from RefSeq and is a predicted model, not a curated record.